GAUGGUGCUCGACCGCUCCUGCUCCCCGCUCCGGAGAGCAGCAGAACUGUUUCUCCGUCGGCGGCUCCGGCCCUGGCACCGGCACCGGUCGCUUUACCUCCCCGCCAGAACACGAAAACCCGCCCCCUCCGACGCUAGAGACACUCAGCUUUAUAUCUGCAGCAUCAGCGAGAAAGCCCGGCUUGGCGCAGGCUCAGUGUUCACCGCCGCAGUCCCGGACGGAGGAGGGGGGCUUGGGAGCUCAGCGUCUUCGCAGCGGGUUAAUGUCUUCACAUACAACAUCUCCCUGAAUGUGCAAUGUCUUUCCUGCUCGGGAGUGCUGCGUCCUUCAGAGUGAAUUGGUUCCUCUUUCGGAGCAGAGAUACUGCAGACACCAGAGAAAGAAAGAGGAGAAAGGUUAUUUCCCUUACUUUCUUAUCCUUAUGCAUACAGUAUAUCUGGAGAUCUUGAAGACUGAACUGUUGAGGACUUCCAGCUAGAACCAAAAUGAGAUCUGUUCUGAACAUCUGAAGUACCAGGUAAUACAAGACACUCUGAAAUUCAUGUAAUGAGUGUCAGAUUUGAUUAUUCUAAAUUUAGAAAUACUUCUUCAAAUUUAUGUUUCUUUUCCCUACCUGACAAGUAUCCCUGACUUUCCAUUGUCUCACAGUGGUGUGAAAUUAUACUGAAAUAUAUUUGUGAAACAUUCAAUUAAUUCAGAAAAGCCAAUAUGUAAAUAAAUAAUUCCCCCUUAAGAAAAAAUAAAAUAAUUAAAUAAAAAUACUUGGCAAAUAAAUCCAAUUGAGAUAUACAAGUGAGCUCUAUUCAUUUUGUAUAUUGAAGAAUCUUCCUGUUCAACUUGUUCCAGUCUCUGUUCCCUGCUGUUUCUAUUUUUCCUCUGUUGCAGUUUCCAGUCAGACCAGUAUAAUUCUGUACUAGGUCUGGCUGGAAUGGAGUCAACUUCCUUUGUAGCAUCCCAUAUGGUGCUGUGUUUUACAUUUCUGACCAAAACUGUGUUGAUAAUAUACCAGUGUUUUAGCAAUUGCUGAGUGGUGCUUGCAUAAUAUCAGGGACUUUGUUUUCUCACUCU
Long non-coding RNA from Pezoporus occidentalis (night parrot), 1069 nucleotides. RefSeq lists it as uncharacterized. The transcript is spliced from 4 exons. The record is from RefSeq and is a predicted model, not a curated record. Lineage: Eukaryota; Metazoa; Chordata; Aves; Psittaciformes; Psittacidae.